Molecule: ribosomal RNA, 464 nt
Filed under: Listeria monocytogenes
Lineage: Bacteria; Bacillati; Bacillota; Bacilli; Caryophanales; Listeriaceae
Description: partial 23S ribosomal RNA
Rfam family: Bacterial large subunit ribosomal RNA
Source: RNAcentral
ACCCAUGUCCAGGAUGAAGGUAAGGUAAUACUUACUGGAGGUCCGAACCCACGCACGUUGAAAAGUGCGGGGAUGAGGUGUGGGUAGCGGAGAAAUUCCAAUCGAACUUGGAGAUAGCUGGUUCUCUCCGAAAUAGCUUUAGGGCUAGCCUCGAGGUAAAGAGUCAUGGAGGUAGAGCACUGUUUGGACUAGGGGCCCUUCUCGGGUUACCGAAUUCAGAUAAACUCCGAAUGCCAUGUACUUAUACUCGGGAGUCAGACUGCGAGUGAUAAGAUCCGUAGUCGAAAGGGAAACAGCCCAGACCACCAGUUAAGGUCCCCAAAUAUAUGUUAAGUGGAAAAGGAUGUGGGGUUGCUUAGACAACCAGGAUGUUGGCUUAGAAGCAGCCACCAUUGAAAGAGUGCGUAAUAGCUCACUGGUCGAGUGACCCCGCGCCGAAAAUGUACCGGGGCUAAACAUAUUAC